This is a long non-coding RNA of Helianthus annuus (common sunflower), 1216 nucleotides long. RefSeq lists it as uncharacterized. Lineage: Eukaryota; Viridiplantae; Streptophyta; Magnoliopsida; Asterales; Asteraceae. The transcript is spliced from 2 exons. The record is from RefSeq and is a predicted model, not a curated record.
AGCAAAAUCUGUUCAAAAUCUCUACAAAAUAUUUACUAGAGAUUUGGUCUCAAAAGUUGGAACCUACAAAUCUCUACAAGAUCAUAGCAAGAUCUUGAAUAUCUCUAUAAAACACCCUCAUUCUUUGAUCAGCCACUUUAAGAUGUUAUCAUCUCUGCAACCUUUAUCCCUCUCCACAAUUUCAAACACACACUAAAAUAGAACACUACCUCUCUCUCUCGAUGACAUUAAGACAAAUAGAAAACAAAAAUUAUGAGAACCCUUUUCAUCUCUACCACUCCAUCUCUUUCAAAACACAUAAAUCUUACCCUCUCUCUCUCGAUAUCACACAAAUAAAAACAACAGAGCCUUAUCUCCAUUUUCAUCUUGAGUUCACCCAAACACACCCACACAUAAUCUGUUCCUCUCCCCUCCGAUGACACCCACCAGCAAGCAGCCCCCCCCUCGAUUGAACAGUAACGACACCGCCAUCAAGGCGGCGGCGGUGACCCGACAGAGAAACGGAGAGAGAGAGAGAGAGAUGUAUGAGAGAGAUCGGGAGGAGAAAGAGGGCGUCGGAAACGGAGCGACACCGCCGCUCAUGGCGGCGGCAGUGGAGGCGGCGGCGGCAUGAGUCUCACAGCGAUGGUGGUGGUUCCGUAAUGGUGGUACACCGUUUUCAGAAAAUAAAAGGGCGGCGGUGGUGCCGACGGCUACCGGAGCCGCGUCAGAAAACAUUACGGCGGUGGUGGUUUCGUUCUCCGACAGGAUCUCCGAUGAUGCUUGUGAUGUUCUGUUUGGUUCGAGUUUCGGGACUCCGGUCAGCUUUCGUGACACGGUCAGGCUCAAGUAAACAUGGCCAGAUUAAGUUUGGGGUUCACGUUAGCGGGUUCUUGUUCAUUCAGUCCAGAUUCGGAUUUGGUUUUGGGGAAUUAUUUUGGGUUCGAGUCAAACCCGAGUGACUCGGUCAACACCCGAGUCAACUCAGUUCAACAACGGGUCAAGAUAGGUCAAUGAAAGUCAGCGAUCAAACCAAGUCAACAAGUCAGCGGAUACGGGUCCAAAGCAGUUACGGUUCUGGUCAACUCCUGAGAUCCGGUAACAUUUAAUCACGCGAGAUUUAGUUUAGAUCGAUAUAGAUUUUUAGAUUUAUACGCGAACCGAGCUCGACCCGACUAACGGUUUUACAUUUUGUGAUAUGGUUUCAUAUUUGGAAUUUUGAUAUACUUCACAUAAA